GUGCUCACUUUAGCCGCACAUAUAUUAAAAUGGAAUGAUACAGAGAACAUUAGUAUGGCCACUUGCAAGGAUGACACACAAAUUCAUAAAUCAUUCCGUAUUUUA
This 105-nucleotide small nuclear RNA is filed under the name Microcebus murinus (gray mouse lemur). The record is from RNAcentral. Lineage: Eukaryota; Metazoa; Chordata; Mammalia; Primates; Cheirogaleidae.